RNAcentral lists this ribosomal RNA (253 nucleotides) under uncultured bacterium. RNAcentral's name for it is "partial 16S ribosomal RNA". It matches the Rfam family "Bacterial small subunit ribosomal RNA", at positions 524 to 776 of the family's 1533-position model. The record is from RNAcentral.
GACGUAGGGGGCCAGCGUUGUUCGGAAUUACUGGGUGUAAAGGGUUCGUAGGCGGUGCGGCAAGUCGGGCGUGAAAUCUCUGGGCUUAACCCAGAGGCUGCUUCCGAAACUGCUGUGCUUGAGUGUGGGAGAGGCGCGUGGAAUUGCAGGUGUAGCGGUGAAAUGCGUAGAUAUCUGCAGGAGCACCCGUGGCGAAAGCGGCGCGCUGGACCACUACUGACGCUGAGGAACGAAAGCUAGGGGAGCAAACAGG